Molecule: ribosomal RNA, 465 nt
Filed under: uncultured Klebsiella sp.
Lineage: Bacteria; Pseudomonadati; Pseudomonadota; Gammaproteobacteria; Enterobacterales; Enterobacteriaceae
Description: bacterial SSU rRNA
Rfam family: Bacterial small subunit ribosomal RNA
Source: RNAcentral
CCUACGGGGGGCAGCAGUGGGGAAUAUUGCACAAUGGGCGCAAGCCUGAUGCAGCCAUGCCGCGUGUGUGAAGAAGGCCUUCGGGUUGUAAAGCACUUUCAGCGGGGAGGAGGGCGGUGAGGUUAAUAACCUCAUCGAUUGACGUUACCCGCAGAAGAAGCACCGGCUAACUCCGUGCCAGCAGCCGCGGUAAUACGGAGGGUGCAAGCGUUAAUCGGAAUUACUGGGCGUAAAGCGCACGCAGGCGGUCUGUCAAGUCGGAUGUGAAAUCCCCGGGCUCAACCUGGGAACUGCAUUCGAAACUGGCAGGCUAGAGUCUUGUAGAGGGGGGUAGAAUUCCAGGUGUAGCGGUGAAAUGCGUAGAGAUCUGGAGGAAUACCGGUGGCGAAGGCGGCCCCCUGGACAAAGACUGACGCUCAGGUGCGAAAGCGUGGGGAGCAAACAGGAUUAGAUACCCUUGUAGUC